Molecule: non-coding RNA, 438 nt
Organism: Cinara cedri
Lineage: Eukaryota; Metazoa; Arthropoda; Insecta; Hemiptera; Aphididae
Source: the annotation of a GenBank genome assembly
UUUUUAAUAUAGGUCCUUGGAUAAUACUUAAACGGGUGCAGCCAAUGUUAUAGGUAAUUCAAUGUAUAUCUGUAAGCAACGUUAAACUAUUGCUAACGAAAAAACGAUUCUGAGCGGAGCUCAGUUGAAAGUGAUACUUUGUCAACAAUACAUACAUGCCAUAUUAUAAUAUUAAAUAAGCUCUUUAUAUUUUCUUUAAUAAUAUUUGUUUAAUGUUGUGACGUUUUUCACAGUUUCCCCAUGUUUUUCUCCCAGUUUUUCACAUUUGUUAAGAUAAUCGAAAAAUAGCUUGUUUAAAGUGCCUUUCCACGCUGAUUUCCUUUUUAAAAAGAUGCUACACAGAAAAAAUGAAGCAAUAUAUUUGGUAGAAAAGUUGUUUACAGAAAAAAAAAACAAACAUCUUAUAAAACAAUAUGCUUAUUCACUCCUAUACCUAGC